This 164-nucleotide ribosomal RNA is filed under the name Festuca eskia. RNAcentral describes it as "5.8S ribosomal RNA". It matches the Rfam family "5.8S ribosomal RNA". From Rfam's summary of the family: 5.8S ribosomal RNA (5.8S rRNA) is a component of the large subunit of the eukaryotic ribosome. It is transcribed by RNA polymerase I as part of the 45S precursor that also contains 18S and 28S rRNA. The record is from RNAcentral. Lineage: Eukaryota; Viridiplantae; Streptophyta; Magnoliopsida; Poales; Poaceae.
CACACGACUCUCGGCAACGGAUAUCUCGGCUCUCGCAUCGAUGAAGAACGUAGCGAAAUGCGAUACCUGGUGUGAAUUGCAGAAUCCCGCGAACCAUCGAGUCUUUGAACGCAAGUUGCGCCCGAGGCCUUCUGGCUGAGGGCACGCCUGCCUGGGCGUCACGC